AGACCCGAAACCCGGUGAUCUAGCCAUGGGCAGGUUGAAGGUUGGGUAACACUAACUGGAGGACCGAACCGACUAAUGUUGAAAAAUUAGCGGAUGACCUGUGGCUGGGGGUGAAAGGCCAAUCAAACCGGGAGAUAGCUGGUUCUCCCCGAAAGCUAUUUAGGUAGCGCCUCGUGAAUUCAUCUCCGGGGGUAGAGCACUGUUUCGGCUAGGGGGCCAUCCCGGCUUACCAACCCGAUGCAAACUGCGAAUACCGGAGAAUGUUAUCACGGGAGACACACGGCGGGUGCUAACGUCCGUCGUGAAGAGGGAAACAACCCAGACCGCCAGCUAAGGUCCCAAAGUCAUGGUUAAGUGGGAAACGAUGUGGGAAGGCCCAGACAGCCAGGAUGUUGGCUUAGAAGCAGCCAUCAUUUAAAGAAAGCGUAAUAGCUCACUGGUCGAGUCGGCCUGCGCGGAAGAUGUAACGGGGCUAAACCAUGCACCGAAGCUGCGGCAGCGAACGUAUCACCCAAGACAACUUUACGGAGUUGGCGAUUGACGGAGCGAAGCGACGUCAAAGCGUUCAUUAAAGUCGAGUUGGCUUAGGGAUACGUUCGUUGGGUAGGGGAGCGUUCUGUAAGCCUGUGAAGGUGUGUCGUGAGGCAUGCUGGAGGUAUCAGAAGUGCGAAUGCUGACAUAAGUAACGAUAAAGCGGGUGAAAAGCCCGCUCGCCGGAAGACCAAGGGUUCCUGUCCAACGUUAAUCGGGGCAGGGUGAGUCGACCCCUAAGGCGAGGCCGAAAGGCGUAGUCGAUGGGAAACGGGUUAAUAUUCCCGUACUUGGUGUUACUGCGAAGGGGGGACGGAGAAGGCUAUGUUGGCCGGGCGACGGUUGUCCCGGUUUAAGCGUGUAGGUGUGUGUUCCAGGUAAAUCCGGUUCACUUUAACACUGAGGCGUGACGACGAGGCACUACGGUGCUGAAGCAACAAAUGCCCUGCUUCCAGGAAAAGCCUCUAAGCAUCAGGUAACACGAAAUCGUACCCCAAACCGACACAGGUGGUCAGGUAGAGAAUACCAAGGCGCUUGAGAGAACUCGGGUGAAGGAACUAGGCAAAAUGGUGCCGUAACUUCGGGAGAAGGCACGCUGACACGUAGGUGAAGUGAUUUACUCAUGGAGCUGAAGUCAGUCGAAGAUACCAGCUGGCUGCAACUGUUUAUUAAAAACACAGCACUGUGCAAACACGAAAGUGGACGUAUACGGUGUGACGCCUGCCCGGUGCCGGAAGGUUAAUUGAUGGGGUCAGCGCAAGCGAAGCUCCUGAUCGAAGCCCCGGUAAACGGCGGCCGUAACUAUAACGGUCCUAAGGUAGCGAAAUUCCUUGUCGGGUAAGUUCCGACCUGCACGAAUGGCGUAAUGAUGGCCAGGCUGUCUCCACCCGAGACUCAGUGAAAUUGAACUCGCUGUGAAGAUGCAGUGUACCCGCGGCAAGACGGAAAGACCCCGUGAACCUUUACUAUAGCUUGACACUGAACAUUGAGCCUUGAUGUGUAGGAUAGGUGGGAGGCUUUGAAGUGUGGACGCCAGUCUGCAUGGAGCCGACCUUGAAAUACCACCCUUUAAU
RNAcentral lists this ribosomal RNA (1604 nucleotides) under Salmonella enterica. RNAcentral's name for it is "partial 23S ribosomal RNA". It matches the Rfam family "Bacterial large subunit ribosomal RNA", at positions 711 to 2211 of the family's 2925-position model. The record is from RNAcentral. Lineage: Bacteria; Pseudomonadati; Pseudomonadota; Gammaproteobacteria; Enterobacterales; Enterobacteriaceae.